UACAGAGGCCCCGAGCGUUGUUCGGAAUUACUGGGCGUAAAGCGGGUGUAGGCGGCCGGCCAAGUCAGAUGUGAAAGCCCUGGGCUUAACCCAGGAAGUGCGUCUGAUACUGGUUGGCUAGAGUGCGAUAGAGGAAAGUGGAAUUCCUAGUGUAGGGGUGAAAUCCGUAGAUAUUAGGAGGAAUACCAAUGGCGUAGGCAGCUUUCUGGUUCGUUACUGACGCUCAGACCCGAAAGCAUGGGUAGCAAACAGG
RNAcentral lists this ribosomal RNA (253 nucleotides) under uncultured bacterium. RNAcentral's name for it is "partial 16S ribosomal RNA". It matches the Rfam family "Bacterial small subunit ribosomal RNA", at positions 524 to 776 of the family's 1533-position model. The record is from RNAcentral.